AAUCACUAACUACACGGCCAAGUA
This 24-nucleotide microRNA is filed under the name Eptesicus fuscus (big brown bat). Its description in RNAcentral is "efu-miR-34c". Its record names the gene efu-miR-34c. Lineage: Eukaryota; Metazoa; Chordata; Mammalia; Chiroptera; Vespertilionidae. The record is from miRBase by way of RNAcentral.